UGUGGAGUUCGAUUUUUGAUCUCCUAUUUGAAGGUAGUUCUUUGAUUGAAGGAAUGAAGAGCAGACAUGAGGAUACAUCACCAUGAUGAAGAACUUCCUUCAGUGGCAUACUCAUUCAAAUGGUGAGCUUGUUCAAGGAAUGACUGACACACUGAUCCAGAAAGCUGUCACAUUUUGCAUUAGGGAACAAACACUGGCUUAAUUGCCUUAUUGUUUCCAUUGUUGAACACAUUUUUUCUAUUUUGAUAAUUCAUAGUUUCUUUUACUGCUACAAGAUAAGAAAUUGAAUGUAUUAAGAUUGUUUGUUCUUAUUUUAAGUGAAUGACAUUGUUUUGAGUUU
Solanum tuberosum (potato) is the source of this 340-nucleotide long non-coding RNA. RefSeq lists it as uncharacterized. Lineage: Eukaryota; Viridiplantae; Streptophyta; Magnoliopsida; Solanales; Solanaceae. The record is from RefSeq and is a predicted model, not a curated record. The transcript is spliced from 3 exons.